Molecule: non-coding RNA, 71 nt
Organism: Podarcis lilfordi (Lilford's wall lizard)
Lineage: Eukaryota; Metazoa; Chordata; Lepidosauria; Squamata; Lacertidae
Source: the annotation of a GenBank genome assembly
ACUGUGGCACAAUGAGUCAGUGCACCUGGCUGUUAACCGGAAGGUUGGUGGUUCAAGGCCACUCAGGUAUG